AAUCUCCGUACAAGUUUUGUACGGCGAAUUGUAGUCUAUAGAGGCGUGGUCAGCGUGGGCGCUUGGGGCAAGUUCCUUGGAAGAGGACAGCAUGGAGGGUGAUACUCCCGUUCAUCCCUGAGUGGCUCGUGCGUACGACCCGUUUUCUUUGAGUCGCGUUGUUUGGGAAUGCAGCGCAAAGUAGGUGGUAAAUUCCAUCUAAAGCUAAAUAUUGGUGCGAGACCGAUAGCAAACAAGUACCGUGAGGGAAAGAUGAAAAGAACUUUGAAAAGAGAGUUAAAGAGUACCUGAAACUGCUGAAAGGGAACCGAAUCGUUUCCAGUGUCUAUAAUCCGUGGCAUAUUUCAUUGGCGAGUGUGUGCGUGCGUGUGCUGUGGCAGCGGCCUUUUGGCUGCGCUUGGCGCGAGUGGUGUAUGUGCUUGCCGGUGCCCUGUGCUGCGGUGGGACGUCAAUGUCAGUUCGUAUGCUGC
This 470-nucleotide ribosomal RNA is filed under the name Peronospora eranthidis. Its description in RNAcentral is "partial large subunit ribosomal RNA". It matches the Rfam family "Eukaryotic large subunit ribosomal RNA", at positions 117 to 547 of the family's 3401-position model. The record is from RNAcentral. Lineage: Eukaryota; Oomycota; Peronosporomycetes; Peronosporales; Peronosporaceae.